CCAUCGUCCCACUCUAUUAAGCAUUUGUGUGUCCUUGAUUUGGAUACUGCAUGUAACUGUGGGCCCUGUAAUACAAGAAGGCUGUGGGGAACUUGAAUGUGUCCAGAUGAGAGCUGCAAAGCUGAUAACAGGGCUGAAAGUCUUGUCCUGCGUAGAGAGGCUGCGGGUGCUUGGGCUGACCAGUCUGGAGAAUAGAAGGCUGAUAGGCAACUUCAUUGCUCUCUUCAACUUCCUGAGAAGGGGAAGAGAAGAUCUUGUCACAGAGCUGCUAUAUAGAAGAAAAUCAAGUCAAGAAGCACAACCAAGGAACAAAUUUCUGGGGGAAGGCAGAAGCAAGAAUGUUCUCAGCUAGGCUUGCUGCUGUGACAUGGAACACACUGAAGAGUCAUUAGACUUCUAGCUACCCACUUGAGAAGUUUCUUAAGAAUCCCUUCAAAAUCAGAAAUAUCAGAGCGUGUAUAACACCUCCUGAACUCAGCAUAUGAAACCCCCAAAUAGUAGCUGUAUUUCUGGGAAAGCUGUAUUAAUCUGAGAUGUACCUAUAUCUCCACAGUGAACUUGAUGCAGCUUUAGCAGUUCAUUGGUCAACCAGAAGCAGAAAUACUUCCCACAGUUCCAUUAAAUUUAAAAAAAAAAAAAAAUAAUAAAAAAAAAUUCAAUGGCUGUUACCAAAAAUUCAGAAGUAUGCAGCUGUUACCAGUGAAGUGACUAAAUGGGCUACAUGACACACCACUUCGGCUGGAACGAAACUGAUCAAAUUGCAGUGACAUGGAAGUCAAUUCUUCAUCUCUCUACCUCCUGAAGACCUCUUUGUAGAAAGAAGGGAUACAGCAUGUGGAGCUACUGAAUCAAGCCCAUGAAGAAAAGAUAGGUGACUGAGGGUUAGAAGAGGAGUUUGGAUGUCAAGUUCAAGCUUUCCUUCCUGACUUCUCCAUGGAUGCGCUUUGUCACGUGGCUCAACAUUCUUGGAGCUGAGAAGAUGGAGUUCUCUAAUUUUGCACACUGGUGCUCGCAAUUGCUGGAGAGUAAUUUCUUCUUGACUGUACUUCCCUGCACAGACUGACUUUGUCUUUUACCUUGUUGCCUUCUGAAGGGCAGUCAGACAUUGCAUUCAAGGCUGAGUGUCCCACCUGUUGUAGAGUUUGGAGGCAUAGUCCUUCUCUCAACCCAAAGGUACCACAGUUGAGUUUCAUCUAAGUCAUCUAGUUUUCUCCAUAGGCCAGUAGAGAAGAAUAGAAAUUUCUUGGCUGAAAAUACAAAUAAGUCAUUACUUAAGGUGUCUGAUUUUUCCUCCUUGUAUUAAACAAGCAAAACAAAUAAUUAAACAAACAAUGAAACAAAAGAAAAAAACUCCAUACACUCCAAUAAAAGAAAAAGAAAACAGCAGAGGUGAUGAGCUCAGAUAUCUGCAUCGGAGCAUUCCAGAGUUUAAUGGGAUUAAACUGUACCUCAGUUUCCCUAUGAAUAAACUAUAACAAUAGGACAUCAAUAACAGUAUAUCAAAUUAGAGUGUUGACACCCACUUCUUUAUGUGAAUGUGUUGUCUGCUUAGACAGAAUAACUCUUCAAAACAGAUGGCAAAAGGAAAAUGUUCUCUCUGUAUGUUAUGCUGCCUAUUUCCAGCAGGAUUUCGUUACUGAAGUAACCACAUUUCUUUGCACUGAGUUGCAAGGCAAAGAUCGGAUGGGACAGACCUGCCUGCACAUCUAGGAAUUGCUCCCAGUCACACAGAUGUAUUUCUGAAUAGAAAUGCAAUAGAAAAACAGUGUUGUUUCAAAAGACAUCAGCUUCUAGAAGGCCCCUGUUGGAUCUGUAAGCGAGUGGAUUGAGGAGCAUCAGAUAAUUCAUUUAUUCACAGAUUCUAAGAGUGAAAGGGUUGCAUUUUGAUCAUCAGGUCAGCUGUUUGGUGUAACGUCAGUUUCCCUUCGUCUACAUUUGUUCAGCUGUUCAACUAGAAUAUAUGUUUCAGAAGAAAACCAUACCAGACUGCAGAAUUCCUAGCUUCAUGUCUGAUCAGACAUUGUAAAGGAGUUUUUCUCAUUAAUUAAUGCUCUGUUGAAAUCAUUAUGCCUAUUUGCUAUGGAAAGAUUUAUCAAGAAAUUCACUGGAGCAGCUAACCUUGCUGUCAUGGAUUUGGUUACCCUUCCUUUUGCCUCAUUCCUGGUCCUCAAGGUUUCAGCAAAUUUCUCCCCAACUCUCAGCUUCCUGGUGAAUUUUCUAUCCCCUCUCAUUCGUGGGGUGUGACAGGAUAAUAGCAGCAAUCCAGUCCUUAUUGUCUGGAUCUGCGGAUGAACGGUGCUGUAUAAGUGUAAAGUGUUAUUAUUAUUGUAAGGAAAUAAUAAUACUAAUAAAACAAAAUGAAUCGA
Molecule: long non-coding RNA, 2366 nt
Organism: Gallus gallus (chicken)
Lineage: Eukaryota; Metazoa; Chordata; Aves; Galliformes; Phasianidae
Source: Ensembl